This 254-nucleotide ribosomal RNA is filed under the name uncultured bacterium. Its description in RNAcentral is "partial 16S ribosomal RNA". It matches the Rfam family "Bacterial small subunit ribosomal RNA", at positions 524 to 776 of the family's 1533-position model. The record is from RNAcentral.
UACGUAGGGUCCGAGCGUUGUCCGGAUUUAUUGGGCGUAAAGAGCUCGUAGGCGGCUCAGUAAGUCGGAUGUGAAAACUCAGGGCUCAACCCUGAGACGCCAUCCGAUACUGCUGUGGCUUGAAUCUGGUAGGGGAGCACGGAAUUCCUGGUGUAGCGGUGAAAUGCGCAGAUAUCAGGAGGAACACCGGCGGCGAAGGCGGUGCUCUGGGCCAGUAUUGACGCUGAGGAGCGAAAGCGUGGGUAGCAAACAGG